Long non-coding RNA from Ctenopharyngodon idella (grass carp), 628 nucleotides. RefSeq lists it as uncharacterized. Lineage: Eukaryota; Metazoa; Chordata; Actinopteri; Cypriniformes; Xenocyprididae. The record is from RefSeq and is a predicted model, not a curated record. The transcript has 4 exons.
GUUUUGUCAGUAACUUCUACCUUCUUCUCUUCACUCUCCUCUUCUAAAGAAACAGUGUUGUGGUUCUUGUGAAGUCCUUCAGUGCAGGACAGACACACACAUGUCUGAUCAUCUCUACAGAACAGCUCCAGAGGUCUCUCAUGUUUCUGACAUAUAUAGUCCUCCAGAUUCCUCACAGGAUUGAUCAGUUUGUGUUUCUUUAAACCUGCCACUUUCAAAUGAGGCUCCAGGUGAGUUUCACAGUAAGAGCUCUGACACCCCAGACACGACUUCAGGGCUUUCAGCUUUCUUUCCUCACAGACGUCACACAGAACUUCAGGUUUUUUCAGAACUUCAGUUUUUUUCUCAGGACUUUUCUUUUUAUAGUGAUCUACGAGCUCUCGGAGUGUGGUAUUAAUCUUGAGAUCAGGUCUGAUCUUGAAUGUUUCUUUACAAUAUGGACAGUUGCAGGUCUGGCUGUUGUCCCAGCACUUAUUCAGACAGGUCUUGCAGAAGUUGUGUCCACAUGGAGUGCUGACUGGAUCAGUGAACACGUCCAGACAUAUCGAGCACUGAAGCUCCUCAGUCAGUGGACCGCUGGAGGAUGACAUAUCUGGACAGAGAAAAUGUAGAGCAACUUUGAAAAAAG